CGGUGGCGAGGCCGGGUCUCCGCUUGCUCCGGGGAAGUUUUCGGCGGCGGCUCCGAAGGAGACAGCGGGUCGACACCAGCCGCUGGGAUGGAACCGUGAGCAGUGAUUGGAACUCCCCGGCAUGGAACUGAACUGGGCUGUGUUGAGGAAACUAUAAGGUUGCCAUCACGAAAGCCAAAGUGGAUUUCUCCGGUGUGCUGUGCCUGCCCCCUUCCGUCAUUGCUAGAAAUGGGCUGGACGGAGGAGGGGCUGGCGACAAUGAGGAUGAGACGGUGCUGGUAUCUCUUUCGGCGGCACCUAGCCCUCAGAGUGAAGCUGUUGCCAAUGAGUUGC
This is a long non-coding RNA of Eublepharis macularius, 333 nucleotides long. RefSeq lists it as uncharacterized. The transcript has 3 exons. Lineage: Eukaryota; Metazoa; Chordata; Lepidosauria; Squamata; Eublepharidae. The record is from RefSeq and is a predicted model, not a curated record.